RNAcentral lists this ribosomal RNA (366 nucleotides) under Escherichia coli. RNAcentral describes it as "partial 16S ribosomal RNA". It matches the Rfam family "Bacterial small subunit ribosomal RNA", at positions 1 to 363 of the family's 1533-position model. Lineage: Bacteria; Pseudomonadati; Pseudomonadota; Gammaproteobacteria; Enterobacterales; Enterobacteriaceae. RNAcentral also lists the same sequence under 1 other name. The record is from RNAcentral.
AAAUUGAAGAGUUUGAUCAUGGCUCAGAUUGAACGCUGGCGGCAGGCCUAACACAUGCAAGUCGAACGGUAACAGGAAACAGCUUGCUGUUUCGCUGACGAGUGGCGGACGGGUGAGUAAUGUCUGGGAAACUGCCUGAUGGAGGGGGAUAACUACUGGAAACGGUAGCUAAUACCGCAUAACGUCGCAAGACCAAAGAGGGGGACCUUCGGGCCUCUUGCCAUCGGAUGUGCCCAGAUGGGAUUAGCUAGUAGGUGGGGUAACGGCUCACCUAGGCGACGAUCCCUAGCUGGUCUGAGAGGAUGACCAGCCACACUGGAACUGAGACACGGUCCAGACUCCUACGGGAGGCAGCAGUGGGGAAUA